UCUUCUUCAGGGGUGUCCAUGGUAAUCAAAGGUUCAGUCUUAUCAUCUGCCACAAGAAUAGCAGCAGCUCCACCUUUUUGCGCAUUCCAGGCCUUCAAGGUGAAGUAACAAUCUGCAAGUGGGAGUGGUCCAGGUACAUUACCAGCUUGUCUAUAAUAAAUAAAAUUGGAACAAAGAAAUCAACUGAAAUACUAAGCCAGUCUCUACAUGAUAUAGUUACAAAAAUUUCAAAAGCAUGAUUUGGAAUACCAUAGUUUGACUCAGGCAAGACAUCAACAAAGUAAAUUUUCAUGAAAUGUUUAUAUUAACAAAUUUCUACUACUGGAAUUCCCAAAGCACGGACCUCAGACCAACCCGAAUACCAAACCUGACUUCCCCCUGCUAGACUAGUAAAAACGUCUACUUUCUUAACUCGGUGAAUUUUCAUAGGAAAGAAAAAGCGCCAACAAACAUGCAUAAAGUAUUUAACUAGCCACGAUCUUUCAAAAAAUUAAUCAAACAAACAAAACCAUACACUUGAAGCAAAUGAAAGUAUACAAGGAAAGAAAGUAUAUAACAACAUUCCUUAAUUACAUCAAGCCAUCCAAUUUAACAAUUUAACAAUUUAACCAACCAUAGUUACAUAUGAACAAACAAUUAAAUGAAUUUAACAAACAAGCUCUUAACUUCAUUCAAAACAAAAAUCAUAGAACGAACAAAAUCAUCAAAUUUAAAAAUCUCACCUCCUCGAUCAACAAGGAGAAAAGUGGGUAAUCCUCCAGGCCUUGACUUGAAGGAAAGAUCAACUUCAUCAAAACCCUUACAAGCCUUUUGAUUGGCUUUUGGAUAAACCACGGUACCAAUUAAAGUUCCUCCAUAUUGAGGAACCCCAAAAUUCCCAAUUGCACAUUCAUAAACUCCUUUGAUUUUCUCUGGGGAUGUCACUUUCAAGCUAUUUUUCUCCACAACAAAUCUUCCAAAACUUAAACCACAUAGUAAAAACAAAAUACCCACCAAAAACCCUAGCUUUUCCCUCAUCUUUGCAGCUGAUUUUCAAUCUUUCUCCUCAACGAACUGAUCGAAAGAGAACUACCCAGA
This 1077-nucleotide long non-coding RNA is filed under the name Citrus sinensis (sweet orange). Its description in RNAcentral is "long non-coding RNA (CSIN_LNC002612)". Lineage: Eukaryota; Viridiplantae; Streptophyta; Magnoliopsida; Sapindales; Rutaceae. The record is from RNAcentral.